Long non-coding RNA from Dreissena polymorpha, 683 nucleotides. RefSeq lists it as uncharacterized. The transcript has 3 exons. The record is from RefSeq and is a predicted model, not a curated record. Lineage: Eukaryota; Metazoa; Mollusca; Bivalvia; Myida; Dreissenidae.
CCUUUCCUUUGAGUUAUAUCGAAGAUGCACAAAUAUUCGCCACUUAUACGUUUGAUGUACAAAUCUGUUUGUCAAUGCGGUUUUGAGCAGUAACAUGCUAGAUAAAUGAAUAUGUGUAUUGUAUUGUUCACAAAACUUACCCGUGUUAUAAAUGAGCGAUUCCGUAAAGAGCAAUGUGUAGGGGUCCAAUGAGGGAAAACUAUUUCCCUUAUUUUUUGUUUAAGAUAAAGAUUUGUUUAAUUAAAUUUCCAGAUACGCCGAGAUGCCCGAGAAGCAAGGAUAACUCAAGCGCAACAUCUGUUCCAUCAACCUCAACCUCAACUCCACUGUCCAGUGACAGUAGCAGAAAGAGGACUCUCAAAGAUGCCCAGUUAAGAGGCCCUGGAAAGCCAGGCAGAGAUGAGUCGUGAGGGAGCAGCGUGUUACCGAAAAGUUACACGACUUGCCGAGUUAUUGAUAGAACGCCUUGAAAAACAAUGAAAACAUUUAUUAUUCUUGUUAAUGUUAUUUUACUGUUAAAUCUUUUUGUUUGAUAGUUUGAUUUGUUAAUAACAACAACAGUUAAUACAAUUAUAAUUUAUUUUACUUCAUAUGUUCAUGCAUUUUCACCAUUUUAAUUGCAAUAAAUAUUUCAUUUUCCUAUACAAAGAUGUUACUGUUUAUAUACAAUCGAAAGCUUGAAG